UACGUAGGGAGCAAGCGUUGUUCGGAAUUAUUGGGCGUAAAGAGCGCGUAGGCGGCUUGGCAAGUCCGUUGUGAAAUCCCAUAGCUUAACUGUGGAACUGCGACGGAAACUGCCUCGCUAGAGUGCGGGAGAGGAGAGUGGAAUUCCCAGUGUAGAGGUGAAAUUCGUAGAUACUGGGAGGAACACCGGUGGCGAAGGCGGCUCUCUGGACCGCAACUGACGCUGAGGCGCGAAAGCUAGGGGAGCAAACGGGAUUAGAUACCCCCGUA
Molecule: ribosomal RNA, 269 nt
Filed under: uncultured prokaryote
Description: partial 16S ribosomal RNA
Rfam family: Bacterial small subunit ribosomal RNA
Source: RNAcentral